Long non-coding RNA from Zingiber officinale, 1896 nucleotides. RefSeq lists it as uncharacterized. NCBI's taxonomy places the organism in Eukaryota, Viridiplantae, Streptophyta, Magnoliopsida, Zingiberales, Zingiberaceae. The transcript is spliced from 3 exons. The record is from RefSeq and is a predicted model, not a curated record.
AUGGACAAAUAAUUAUAUUGGGGGUGUUUAUGUUGAAAAUUAAAUUUAAUUUUGGAUAAAGAUAGUGAUCCAGAUGUAGUUUGGAACAUGAAAGGAAUUAAGAAGAAGAGAGGGGCAUUUGUGUCAUUGGGAAGGAGAGGGCUUUAGGGAUUUUAGUGCUUAUAAGCACUGUGGACACGAAGGCCAGAAGAGGCCCGUCGCCAGGGAGAAACGGAGGGGGAAUGCGUGCUUUUGGGGGGCGGCCACCAGCAACCUCCGUGAGGGGGGUUCUCGUCGGCGUCGUGAUCUCUCCUGUUGAAGCAACGUUGUCGCCAAGAUGGAGGCAGUCUGUGCUUUUCUCUUCCGCCGUCGGCGUCCUCACCACCUCCCCCCUUCUCCUUCCUCGCUGAAGGCCAUGAUCGCACACUGCCGAGGUCGCCGCUGCACCUCUCUUCACUGAUCUUCUUCGCCGCCUCGCGCCCAAGGGGUGCUUUUGCUGCCUGCGGCUACAUCCGGGGUGGAAGCAAAGCUUCCUGAUCCUUCGCUACUGCCGCCGGAUAGAUCCGCCGGCGACGAGGGGACCCCCUCCUCCCUUAUCCUCCGACCUCGAUGCCUCCCUCCGCCCCUGAUGACAGGGGAGGUUGCCGCCUAUGCCUCAAGCAGGCGUCCACGAGAUUAUGUUCGGCCAGCGAGCUGAGGUGGUUCCAGCCAUCGAACCGUUGGGUUUUACUCCAUGCAUCUUUAUUAUGAUUAUGAGUUAUUUGUGUUAUACGGCCUGCAUGCCGUGUAUCGGCCUGCGAGACGUUAUGGCUCAGCCUACAUACCGCAUUCCAGAUCCAGGCUGCAUCGUAUUUCGUGCCGCCACCAUUAGAUUCGACUUCUCAGCGGGUUCACACCCAUCUACUUGUCAGGACCGCGACGACUUGAUUAGCACCCCGACCAGCUCACUCAUCCAUCCGAGGGCGCCCCCUGGGCCAGGGUAUGUCAUUGCACUAGUUUCAUGCUUAUUUUAUUAUCAUGUUAUUAUGCGGCUGCUUAUGCAUUUGUGGGAUCCGCCUCGAGCACCGAGGUACCAGAGACCGGGGCAACCCGGUCACUGGCUGCAGGUACAGUUGCCCGGAGGACUUCAGACGACUUGGUCAACGCAGCGGACAGAUCAUCAACCGGGUCAUGGGGAUGCGGUCAACCUUCCAGACACGUCACACCGGCAGGUUCGUUUUCUCAGCUUCCCGACAGGAACAAAUUGGCGCCGUUUGUGGGAACGCGCCUGAUCUGGAACAUGAAGAUGGACGAUGCCAGAGAGUUCUGCCAUUCUCAUGACCCCGAUGUAUUCAAGAGCAAGAGAGAUUUGUGGAUGGAAACUAUUUACAAGCCUGCUUGAAAUCAUUUUUCGUUAGUGUUUUGGUUGAAAAGGUGAAAAUUUGAUCGACUCAGCUAGAAGGUGAAGUUUAUGUCUCUACUAUAGAUAAUGUGCACCAUCUUAAAGAUGCUGAUAUCAUGACGCAAGCCUUAGGCUCACGGUCUUGUUACAUCAAGGGUUAAGGUUCAUUACCUAAACUAUAUAUAGCAAGUGGUCCUAGGGCCACAAACAUCAGCUCAAAGCAUAAUGAUGAUGGUAAAAAAAUUACUGCUAUACAACAAAUGAUCGAUGAACAAAAACAAACUAUAGGUGAGCAGCAAAAGACAUAAGUGAGCAGCAACAAAGAUUUGAUGCAUUAUUGCAACAACUUCACCAUGUCAUUCUCGAUUUCUUUUUCCAGCCUCCACCGACAAGCUCUUCGACAUGAUCUCCUUCAUAAUAUCAUUGGCAUUCAACAACACCUAUGUAAUCUUUUAUUUUGAAACAUUUUUUAAUUAGUGUUUGACUAAUUAUGUUUUGGAUAUUAUUUUACUAGUUAUUUAACUUUUUGAAAAAUA